RNAcentral lists this ribosomal RNA (507 nucleotides) under uncultured bacterium. RNAcentral describes it as "partial 16S ribosomal RNA". It matches the Rfam family "Bacterial small subunit ribosomal RNA", at positions 28 to 507 of the family's 1533-position model. The record is from RNAcentral.
GACGAACGCUGGCGGCGUGCCUAAUACAUGCAAGUCGAACGCAUUUUCUUUCACCGUAGCUUGCUACACCGAAAGAAAAUGAGUGGCGAACGGGUGAGUAACACGUGGGUAACUUGCCCAUCAGCGGGGGAUAACACUUGGAAACAGGAGCUAAUACCGCAUACUUCCAUUUACCGCAUGGUAUAUGGAUGAAAGGCGCUUUUGCGGCCCUGAUGGAUGGACCCGGGGUGCAUUGGCUAGUUGGGGGGGUAACGGGCUACCAAGGCUGCGAUGCAUAGCCGGCCUGGGAGGGUGAUCGGCCACACCUGGACUGGGACACGGCCCAGACGCCUACGGGAGGCAGCAGUAGGGAAUCUUCGGCAAUGGACGCAAGGCUGACCGAGGAACGCCGCGUGAGUGAAGAAGGGUUUCGGAUCGUAAAACUCUGUUGUUAGAGAAGAACAAGGAUGAGAGUGGAAAGUUCAUCCCUUGACGGUAUCUAACCAGAAAGCCACGGCUAACUACGUG